This 487-nucleotide ribosomal RNA is filed under the name uncultured bacterium. RNAcentral describes it as "bacterial SSU rRNA". It matches the Rfam family "Bacterial small subunit ribosomal RNA", at positions 28 to 507 of the family's 1533-position model. The record is from RNAcentral.
GAUGAACGCUAGCGACAGGCUUAACACAUGCAAGUCGAGGGGCAGCGAGGGAGUGGCAACACUUCUGUCGGCGACUGGCGCACGGGUGAGUAACGCGUAUGCAACCUGCCCUUCACAGGGGGAUAACCGGGAGAAAUUCCGACUAAUACCGCAUACGUCCUCCGGGGGCAUCCCCGGGGGAUGAAAGAGUUAUCGGUGAAGGAUGGGGAUGCGUCUGAUUAGCUUGUUGGCGGGGUAACGGCCCACCAAGGCGACGAUCAGUAGGGGUUCUGAGAGGAAGGUCCCCCACAUUGGAACUGAGACACGGUCCAAACUCCUACGGGAGGCAGCAGUGAGGAAUAUUGGUCAAUGGGCGAGAGCCUGAACCAGCCAAGUAGCGUGCAGGAUGACGGCCCUAUGGGUUGUAAACUGCUUUUAUAGGGGAAUAAAGUGAGCCACGUGUGGUUUUUUGCAUGUACCCUAUGAAUAAGGACCGGCUAAUUCCGUG